This 357-nucleotide ribosomal RNA is filed under the name Triticum aestivum (bread wheat). RNAcentral describes it as "partial small subunit ribosomal RNA". Lineage: Eukaryota; Viridiplantae; Streptophyta; Magnoliopsida; Poales; Poaceae. The record is from RNAcentral.
AUGGUCGCGGAGACAACUUUCAAGUUCCUGAUAUAUGACCAGUUAUAUGGGAAGCACCAUGAACAGCAUCAAGUGAGCCACGAUUUUCAGGCUACAAGCAAAUUCUCUGGGACCUCAUGCAUGAUCCCCCUCACGACGCUUAAGGAGCAAUCCUCUGGAUUCCUCGUCAAAGACAGCUGUGUUUUCGGUGUCCAGUUCAUCAAAAUUGUCGCUGUUAAAGGUAACGAUGCGUUGGAGACGCUGUUUGUUCAGAAGACUAGCAACAUCAGCAGCAAUGGCCCACAAGCCUACACCUGGAACAUUGAUGAUUUCUUUGUGUUGAAGAACCCGAGCACCUCUCCAGAGUUUCAGCUCUGA